GACGAACGCUGGCGGCGUGCUUAACACAUGCAAGUCGAACGGAAAGGCCUUGCUUUUGUUGUGUACUCGAGUGGCUAACGUGUGAGUAACGCGAGAGUCACCUGCCCUUUACUUUGGGAUCACUUCAGUAAACUUGGGCUACUACCGCUUAUUAGCUCCUGCUGUGUGGUGGGGUGUGGGAAGUUUCGGCGGGUGGUGUUGUACUUGCGGCUUAUCUGCCUGCUGGUGGGGUAGUGGCUGACGAAGGCUGUGACGGGUAGGCGGCCUGAGAGGGUGACCGGCGACACUGGGAAUGAGAUAAGGCCAAGAAGCCGACGGGAAGAAGGAGUGGGGAAUAUUGCACAGUGGGCGGAAGCCUGAUGCAGCAACGCCGGGUGUGGGAUGACGGCCUUCGGGUGGUAAACCGCUUGCGCCUGGGAUGAAGCGGGAGUGACGGUAAUGGGAAAAGAAGCACCGGCUAACUACGUG
This 468-nucleotide ribosomal RNA is filed under the name uncultured bacterium. RNAcentral describes it as "partial 16S ribosomal RNA". It matches the Rfam family "Bacterial small subunit ribosomal RNA", at positions 28 to 507 of the family's 1533-position model. The record is from RNAcentral.